CGUUAUUCACACAUGGUAGAACAGAAAAAUAGAUCGUUGCUUGAAAUGGCACGCCGCGUGCUGAUUGUCGCAAAUCUCGAGAAGAAACAUUGGAGCGAAGCCAUAAAUACAGUAACUUGCUUAUAGAAUAAACUACGGAAGAUAAGAGAUGACGUGCCUAAAAGAGGACACGCUUGACCAUGGUAGAUAAAAUGGAUAUGAAUGUGAAGCAUUUCGAUGCGAAUACAGCGAUUUAGCAUAUACAUAUACAGCGUAUACAUAUUCAGCGAAUGCUGCAAUAGAGAAUUGAAGGAGAUAAUAUGUAUACAUAACGCAACCCGAAGGCUACGCUGUCUCAGGUAAAUGUGGUUACGUAUGCAAAUUGAAAAAGGGCAUCUGCGGAUUAAACAAGCGGCAACGUUAUGAAACGACAGAUGUAGGAUCCUGGUUUUAAGAAAUGCGUUUAUCUUACAUUUUACUAAGGAUAUAUUUACGUUACAUAUAUUUACGGUGUUGCGAUUAAUUUUAAGCUCAAACAUAUUUCCUAUUUCGUUUUUUCGAUAUUUCCAAGAAAGUGAAAAGCAAAGUUGUUUACGUAAUGCGUCAAAUGUACGCUAUAGGAUUACACGGCGAGUUAUUGACUUUCGUAACUGAAGUAGAAAAAAAAGGCAAGUUUUCAACAAGACAACGCUUUUAUUCGUAUAGCCGCCGCUGCGGAAAAGUGGUUCGAUUUUGGAAUAGAAUUAUUAUCGUGGCCAGCGUCGAGUGCUGAUCUGAAACCGAUCGAGAACCUGUGGGGAAUUGUAGCAAGAAAAGUUGACGAUCAGGAGAAGCCAACUAUAGAAAAUAUCAAAUUGAACUGAAAAAAUGAGUAAAAUCCAAAGGUCAGACGGAUAUCCCAAACGAAUAAAUUAGUGAACAGUGUUCCCAACAGGUUGAUGGAAGUAAUCGAAAGUAAAGAAAAACCCGCUAAAUAUUAAAGGAAACGGUAACAAAGUUAACAUUGAGUUCCUACUUUUCCACAACCAGAACUUAUUUACUUACUAAAUCUUGUGUACUCAGGGAGAAAAAGCAAAUUCGCAGUUUGUUUACGUGAGUUUCAAAUGAUUCAAAGCGCAGCCGAAGCUGCACGAAACAUUAAUUUUGCAUUUGGUGAAAGAACGAUAACCGGAAGAACGCUAUAAUUUUGGUUUCAAAGAUUCCGAAAUGGCGAUGAAGGACUCGAAGAGAAAGGGAAUCGUAUCAUCCCGAAAACUCUAGAUUUCUAUGAUCAUGGAAUGCAAAAAAGCUUGUAUCUCGCUAGGAAAAGCGUAUUCAAUUUAACGGAUGUUAUUUUGAACAAAUAAAUUUAUUUCGAAUAAAAAAGCACAAAUUAGGGUAUCAUGUUUGAAGACCGCGAUUUAUUUCCGAACUACCUAAUUAGCAACGCGUGACGUUGAGUGAUAGAACAGUACUCUUGUGCCUUUGUGCCGUCCCGCGAGACUUCUUUUCAUUUCUGUGUUAUACGUCACAGUUAAAGCUAUUUUUGUCUUCGCUUCGUCAAAUUAACAUUAAAGGAAACGUUUUUAUAAAUCCUAUUUGAAGUUAUAGUGGAUGCGCAUCCAGAUGUGUCAUUGUAAUUAUAAUCCUAUUUCGCCGCACUACGGAUCUAAUAGGCCUAAAUAACUCACCAGGGACAUAUCGCGGAUACAUUGGAAAGGAAUGACCUGGCGUUGGCUCCAGUCACAAUUCCACACAUAGUCAGUGUUCCAUCGAUAGAAACAAAAACAUCCUGAGGAUUUUCGUGGCUAAUUUUAUGACGCACACUUCCGCAGACAAGAGGCUAAUUUCUAGGUCGGGACAAUGAUUUUAAUUUUCCAUGUCCAUGAUGUUCUUAACAGCCAAGCCUGUCAUAAAACGGCACCCUCUUAUCUAAUUGAUCGCAAGCUUCACGUUCGUCCAAGUAUCGCUCACCCUUUUUCCGACAAGUAUCUCCUGUGCUUCGGGCGCACGGAAGUGCAUUAGCGACACCCAACGAACGAGUAUGCUGAUUGGCUAGUUUCUUAUGUUUGGUGAAAAUCAAGCAACAUGUAUAUUUUCGCAUCCUUUUUGCGCGUUGCUAGGUACUCUAGGUCAAAUCUGGCAAGAUCAGUCUCGUGUCUUUCACCUGUAAACAUCUCCAAGCAUUCGCAGAGUUGAAACGAUCAGUUGAAACGAUCGGUUGUCAGUUUCAGUCGAGUUUUAUAUCUCGAAUCGACUUUAACUCUCAGUGGUCAGAAUAAGAUAUCGUGUGACCAUUCAUAACGACCAUUCGUAAAUCUUGUCUCAGCAAUUGGAGACAGUUCGAAAUUUUCUUAUCGUUCGGGGGUAUCGUACCCUCAGUGUCGUUGACAGUUUACCAUUCGCCACUCCUCCUCGUGAGUAUAUCGCCCAAGAUUAAUUCGACGGGUGCAGUGCAAUGCAGUGUCAUCGUUAUCGGAUACACAUAAAAAUACACACACAAUCAGUUUUCAGUUAAGUCAGUCACGCUUCAGUUACUUAUAAUCCAACGGUCAGUCAGUCAAUCAGUGAGAUACAAUUCAGUAGUCAGGAUUAGACUUCGAAAUCAGGAUCGAUCAGUCUACCGCAGCAGCCAGAGCAUGCAGAACAUCCACAACUUAAGUGAGACCAGUUGUCAAACUUUCAUGGACAGCACCUGUUUCAUCGAUCAUAUUUCACGACAUUCAGGUUGAUGGUCGCAUUGAAUACACCAUAAAUCAGUAUUCAGUGUAUUUCUUUUCCCCGCCAAGGGGUGGUCCUUCGAAAAGUUAGGCGAUACGAAGUGCAAUAUCCUAAUACAUUGGGUGAAUCAGCAUCCGUAUAUUAUCCAUAUACGGUGUUCUGUAUUUGCAUAUGAUAUAUUCGCGAGUAUACUGGUUAAGCAAUUGUCUUCAGAGCUAAUAGGAUAGUCGGCUGUAUUUCGUUUCAAUAUUAUUUUACCUUUCGGGUUCUUCAUAUUCACAAUGUCGGUUUCUGUUCCAGGAAUGGAUAUUACGUACAAGGAGAUCAACGAAAACUAAUGAUAAGCGCUAUUGCGUAUUUAUAAUUGAACGAAACAUUCAUCCACGCGUUAGGAAUGAUAUUUCUAUAAUCAAAUUCAAUUCUCGUCUUUCCAAGUGCCUAUGUUCGUUUCAAUCAAGUACCAUUGACGCUAGCCGUUUGGACACGAAGAGGACAAUAGCAAGGCCUAAUUUCGCGAACAUGGAAAACGUCGAAGCCGAGGACUUUCAGGCCUCCCACGUAACGAGAUAAAUUGCCCUUGUACCCGUAGCGGACAUAGACGAUAACGCCUUAAAAAGGAACUGCUCCUCAGCCUCGCAAGUUCGCUUGAGGAGCCAAUCAACUACGAACUUCCAAAGCAAACACAUAGUCUGCCGCGAUAGUUCAAUGGAGUCACAUGAAUUACAGAAAUGAAAAGGGAUUCGAUCAAAUUUCUCUAUUGUGUCGAGCGAUGUGCGACGUGUAUCGCGUAUGUAUACAAGGUUUCCGCGAAUUCCUCUAAUGUUUCGUUCACGCGAGCUGUUAGUUUCGCUUAAUCGCAACCAUGAGAUACAGGAACAAGGAAUACCUCGAGAUAAUCAAG
Long non-coding RNA from Bombus huntii, 3580 nucleotides. RefSeq lists it as uncharacterized. The transcript is spliced from 4 exons. NCBI's taxonomy places the organism in Eukaryota, Metazoa, Arthropoda, Insecta, Hymenoptera, Apidae. The record is from RefSeq and is a predicted model, not a curated record.